CGCGGGCAGGUCCCGCGCGGGACCGCGGAGCUGCGCGGCCCCCUCGCCUCCCGGCCGCAGACACCUGCCGCGUCCGGGCGCGCCCGGCCCGGCCAAUACCUGUCUGCCAUGCCACCUGCAUUGGAGCCAGCAGAUUAUGGACUGAAACCUCUACAAACUAGAACAAUACUUACACAAGUGUUCAUGAAGUAAAAUGAAGUAACACUGCACUCUACAAAGAGAAUUUCAGAAUAAAAAGCAUUAAGGAUGAAUGGUGUGCAUUACGGAGAUCGCUGCCAUAUGCUUGAUGCCACUUUUCUACCAAGCUCAUUUAUGAAAUUCAGAGGCACUAAUUUAUCUAAGAAGUGGAGUGAUAAUGCUUUGAAGCCAAAGAAAAUAACAGAAAUGUAGUAAAUACAAAAGCCACAUUAAUAAUCAUUCCUCUGACCCUGAUUUCUGUCUUUUCUUUUACAUUGUCUUUUAAGAAUUAAAUCCAAAUGGCAGUUUUAAUAGUAUAAUCAUUAUUCAAUCUCAACAGAAGUUUGGGUGUCUCAAUUCCCGGAGUAGGCAGUUCUUUUCUAUUUCAAAGGAAAGAAAUGUGGCCAAUAGAAAGUGCUAUAACCAAAGAAUUUCUAAGAUGCACUCAUGGCAUGCAAAAUACAUUUUAAUGACAUUUCCCAUGCAAGAUUAACUAUUUAAUCUCCUUUUAGUGGAAAGAGAGUGAUAAAGAUGUAUUAACCAGGUCCUUAAGUAUUAAAAAAUGCCAUUUUCCAAAACAAUCUGGACCCUUGGUUCUUAAACAAGAGCCAAGAUCUGCCUUACAUGAACUGACUCAGUUAAUACAUUUUCUGCUAUUUAAAGUAACAUACUUUGUGUAUUUUAUUGGUGAAUGAAUCCAGUUGUUUUUUUGAGAUUAUGAAGAUCUACACAUUUAUAUUUGCAAUUUAAUUUCAGAAACUGAAAAUGUUGUUAUCAGUGUCAUGUAUAUUUUUGCACAAAAUAUAAUUGUUUUAAAAAGAAAAUACUCAUGGAGUAGAUAAGACAAAAGAAUCUAGAAAUAGAGAAGCUGGCAGUGACCAUAGCUGUUAAUAGCAAACCCCUUCCCACUUGAGAAGAGGAUGUCGUGGCACUUUGGGCCCCUGGAACUGGACAAGACCUCAAGAAAGGAAGGGUUGAAUCGUUAUAAAAACCCAGCUUCUGUUCUUAUGGAUGGUCUCUCGUGAUUUGUGAGAAACUUUCACUUCGGUUCUCAGCAUUAUUUAAUCUUGGCUACAGUCCAGUGAUGAACAUCUUGAGAUAUUCAUGAGGAUGAAAGCUGAAUUCAGUGCAAAAUAAUUUAACCCUUUGUGGCCCUCUGUCUUUCAAAUCCAGUAUCGAUGGGGACCUGGUUCUUUUCCACUGUCAGGUAUGGAAAUACACUGACUCACAUUCUCUCCCUGUGGACCAUUUUGCUUGUGUGAAGCAUCAUUAAUGAGCCACGGUAAAAUAUGUGACCAGAGGUUAUUGUUUAUGAUAAAACUGAGGUUGUAUCUUCAUAAUAAUAACCCAUUAAAAUUAAUCACUCCGUAAUGGGGACUGUUUAAUGAGAGUUCCUUCUCGCCUACUUGGUUCAGGCCUGGAUUGAGUUGACAGAUUUGACUAUGGAUUUUGUCAUAGAGAAAUCUGCUUAAUGCAUUUAUCUCAGUUUUGCCUUUCUCCCUUUUGGUUCCCCCAAUUACCAUCUCACAGACUCCAUGUAGCUGGGGACGCUGUAAGGACACUAGGUGUGAGACUGGGCCUUUGUCCAGAGUUGACGGUGGGAAGACUCCAGCACAGACUCAGGAGGAGGUUAGUGAUCAGCCACAUGGGAUUCUGUGGCUUUGAUCAAAUUAUAUAACUUUUUCGAUAAAUGGGACAGAAUUAUGUAAGAGUGAAGCGAUACAUGCAAAUCAUCUAUUACAGUGUAUAGCAUAUUUCAAGCACUCAGUCAGUGGUGCUUGGUGAUUUCUGGAAAGAGGAUUACUGUUGAAGAAUGGUUAAAAUUGUUGCAGUGUGGGUUUGCAUGGAGUUUUUCAGAUGAAAGGAUUUGAAUCCAAAGAAUGUAGAGUUAGGGCCGGGGAUGAAGGAGAACGAGAUCAUAAAAUCACAGGUGUAUUAGGCAUUUACUGUGUUCUGGAUGCUUUGGUAGAGCAAAGGAAGACAUAAGAGGAAGUUGGAGAACAUCAAACUUAACUUUCACCUGAGUACAAUUCUCCCUGAUCCCUUUGCACAACUUUCUACUUCCAAGAUAAUCUGAGUUGUACCUUUAGAGGCAAUUUGCUCAUUUAUGACCUAGAUUAAAAAGCCCAUUUUGAUAAUUACAAUGACUCACUGUAUUUUCUUGAAAAUGUGCUACUAAGGAAAACCCAUGAGGUGUUUAUUGUCUUUCCCUUUUGUCCUUAUUCAUCUUUCAGCAUCCCGAGAGAGAGGCAGUGACCACGGAAGAGCUUCUAUGUAUUUCUCUCUUUGUGGAAGUGAACCCACAAAGGAAAGAAUCCUUUUGUAUAGCCAGGGCCUAACAUUAUCAUUAUGUAGUUGAAAAGUUCUUGAAUGAAUAAGAUAAAUGAAUAAAUGAAUGAAUAAAUGAAUCUCCAGACCAAACCUAGAGAUUUUAUGAGCAGAAUCAAAAGCGUAAUUGUUGAGGACCUUUUGUUGGAAACAUCAGUGCUAUUUUGCUAAGCUCUGAAAUGCUUAAACUAUUAUGUAAUAAAAAUGAUCCUUCUCAAAAAUGGUGAUGUUUUGGAAAAAAGUGAAGUGUGUAUUCCUUGCUGGUGGUGUUAUCAAUUGAUAAAUCCUUUCAAAGCUAUGGCUCUCUAUAGGAAAACCACAGAGAUUCAUGUCCAUUGCCUUAGAAAUCUUCUCUUUUGCAAACACUUGAACACUCUAGAAGAAGCUAAACAUAAACAUUUUCAUUAUACUCUUUUUUUUUUUUGGUACUGGGUAUCAAACUUGGUACACUGCGCUUGUGAGGCAGGCGACGACGGCACCACUGAGCUAAAUCCUCGGCCCAUAUUACAAUCAAUUUUGACAAGAAAAAGUUAGAGAUAAACUAAAAAGCCAGCAAAAUAAUGAUUUUAUAGAUUAUGGAAUGUCAAUACAGUUUAAUAUUACGAUGCCAUAAGAAUAAUAAUUAAGUAGAAACAUCAAGCUAUGAGAAAAUAUAGGCGAAAAUAUUGAAAUAUAAAUCAUUAUGUAUAGCAUUAUUACAUUAUAAAUAUAAUAUAUUUAUAAUUGAUAGGGCUAUACAAAAAUAGUAGUUGC
This is a long non-coding RNA of Heterocephalus glaber (naked mole-rat), 3258 nucleotides long. Lineage: Eukaryota; Metazoa; Chordata; Mammalia; Rodentia; Bathyergidae. The record is from Ensembl.